CUUCCUUUACAGAGAAGAUACAAAGAUACAGAUUAGCAUGGCCCCUACACGAGGAUGACACACAAAUUCCAUAUCUGGUGGCAGCAUGU
RNAcentral lists this small nuclear RNA (89 nucleotides) under Paramormyrops kingsleyae. The record is from RNAcentral. Lineage: Eukaryota; Metazoa; Chordata; Actinopteri; Osteoglossiformes; Mormyridae.